CCUACGGGAGGCAGCAGUGAGGAAUAUUGGACAAUGGGCGCAAGCCUGAUCCAGCCAUGCCGCGUGCAGGAUGACGGUCCUAUGGAUUGUAAACUGCUUUUAUACGAGAAGAAACACUACUUCGUGAAGUAGCUUGACGGUAUCGUAAGAAUAAGGAUCGGCUAACUCCGUGCCACAG
Molecule: ribosomal RNA, 178 nt
Filed under: uncultured Flavobacterium sp.
Lineage: Bacteria; Pseudomonadati; Bacteroidota; Flavobacteriia; Flavobacteriales; Flavobacteriaceae
Description: partial 16S ribosomal RNA
Rfam family: Bacterial small subunit ribosomal RNA
Source: RNAcentral